CCUGUAUGUAACAUUCACACACAAAGAUCAUGAAAUUUGCAAUGAAGACUUUGGGAUCAAACCUUAAUUUAUUCCCAACCUCAAUUUACAUAUCUGAAAUCCCAGGCUCUUAUCCAACAGGAUAAACAUGCUAUGUCAAGCCUAUUUGUCAUAAAUUCAAUGAACAUUUCAGUUUUGUUUUUCUUCUAUUUUGUUAUAAUGAGUUGAUGUGUGAUACAAAAUCCAUUUGAUUGGUAAACUUAUUGGAAUUCAUUAAAUGUGGAAUCAUCAGGGGGCUGCGAAUACUUUCUCUUGUUCUCGGAUCUGAAAUUACUGAUGCAUCUGUUGCUGCUAUUGCUUCUAGCUACCCUAAUUUAGAACUGCUUGAUUUCAGUGGAUCUGGCAUAAGUGACAGUGGCAUAGGAAUAAUUUGCAAUGUGUUUCCUGAAACAUUAUCAAGACUCCUUCUUGCCCUUUGUCCUAAUGUGACUUCAAGUGGCAUUUGAAAGUGAUGUGAUUUCACUCUUCCAGGAUACUAAGAUGGUUGAUGGAUGAAGAAGAACAAGGUAAAGGAGACUACCAAACAAAAAUCCAGUUUUUUAUUGUUGAAAUGUCACCUGUUACUGACAUAGACACUAGUGACAUCCAUGCCCUUGAAGAGUUACAUAGAAGUCUUGAGAAGAGAGAUAUUGAGGUAACCAAAAUAUAUAUUAUGGUUGCUAUAUGAAACAAAUAAAAUCAACAAUAAUUCAAGCUGAUCAUAUUAUCAUGGACAACUAGUAUCUUACCAAAAGGAGUUUCUUUAAUUGUUCUA
This is a non-coding RNA of Arachis ipaensis, 793 nucleotides long. Lineage: Eukaryota; Viridiplantae; Streptophyta; Magnoliopsida; Fabales; Fabaceae. The record is from RefSeq and is a predicted model, not a curated record.